Molecule: ribosomal RNA, 393 nt
Filed under: uncultured bacterium
Lineage: Bacteria
Description: partial 16S ribosomal RNA
Rfam family: Bacterial small subunit ribosomal RNA
Source: RNAcentral
AUACGGAGGAUGCGAGCGUUCUCCGGAUUUAUUGGGUUUAAAGGGUGCGUAGGCUGUGCGUUAAGUCAGGGGUGAAAUGCCGUCGCUCAACGACGGAGCUGCCCUUGAUACUGGCGUGCUGGAGUAUGGAUGCCGUUGGAGGAAUGAGUGGUGUAGCGGUGAAAUGCUUAGAUAUCACUCAGAACACCGAUUGCGAAGGCAUCUGACGAAUCCGUCACUGACGCUGAGGCACGAAAGCGUGGGGAUAGAACAGGAUUAGAUACCCUGGUAUUCCACGCCGUAAACGAUGAUGGCUAGCCGUCGGCGAUAGACAGCCGGUGGCCAAGCGAAAGCGAUAAGUCAUCCACCUGGGGAGUACGUCGGCAACGAUGAAACUCAAAGGAAUUGACGGGG